GAGUGAUCGAAAGAUGAAAAGCACUUUGGAAAGAGAGUCAAACAGCACGUGAAAUUGUUGAAAGGGAAGCGCUUGCAGCCAGACUUGCUUACAGUUGCUCAUCCGGGUUUCUACCCGGUGCACUCUUCUGUAGGCAGGCCAGCAUCAGUUUGGGCGGUAGGAUAAAGGUCUCUGUCACGUACCUCCUUUCGGGGAGGCCUUAUAGGGGAGACGACAUACUACCAGCCUGGACUGAGGUCCGCGCAUCUGCUAGGAUGCUGGCGUAAUGGCUGUAAGCGGCCC
Molecule: ribosomal RNA, 282 nt
Filed under: Alternaria alternata
Lineage: Eukaryota; Fungi; Ascomycota; Dothideomycetes; Pleosporales; Pleosporaceae
Description: partial 28S ribosomal RNA
Rfam family: Eukaryotic large subunit ribosomal RNA
Source: RNAcentral